Molecule: ribosomal RNA, 455 nt
Filed under: uncultured bacterium
Lineage: Bacteria
Description: bacterial SSU rRNA
Rfam family: Bacterial small subunit ribosomal RNA
Source: RNAcentral
UACGGGAGGCAGCAGUGGGGAAUAUUGCACAAUGGGCGAAAGCCUGAUGCAGCUAUGCCGCGUGUAUGAAGAAGGCCUUAGGGUUGUAAAGUACUUUCAUCGGGGAGGAAAAACAAAACUAAUAAUUUUAUUUCUUGACGUUACCCGAAAAAGAAGCACCGGCUAACUCCGUGCCAGCAGCCGCGGUAAUACGGAGGGUGCUAGCGUUAAUCAGAAUUACUGGGCGUAAAGAGCACGUAGGUGGUUUUUUUAAGUCAGAUGUGAAAUCCCUGGGCUUAACCUAGGAACUGCAUUUUGAAACUGAAAUACUAGAGUAUCGUAGAGGGAGGUAGAAUUCUAGGUGUAGCGGUGAAAUGCGUAGAUAUCUGGAGGAAUACCUGUGGCGAAAGCGGCCUCCUAAACGAAUACUGACACUGAGGUGCGAAAACGUGGGGAGCAAACAGGGAUUAGAUACC